GGGGAAUUUUCCGCAAUGGGCGAAAGCCUGACGGAGCAAUACCGCGUGAGGGAGGAAGGCUCUUGGGUCGUAAACCUCUUUUCUCAGGGAAGAACACAAUGACGGUACCUGAGGAAUAAGCAUCGGCUAACUCCGUGCCAGCAGCCGCGGUAAUACGGAGGAUGCAAGCGUUAUCCGGAAUGAUUGGGCGUAAAGCGUCCGCAGGUGGCGAUGUAAGUCUGCUGUUAAAGAGUGAGGCUCAACCUCAUAAGAGCAGUGGAAACUACAUAGCUAGAGUACGUUCGGGGCAGAGGGAAUUCCUGGUGUAGCGGUGAAAUGCGUAGAGAUCAGGAAGAACACCAGUGGCGAAGGCGCUCUGCUAGGCCGUAACUGACACUGAGGGACGAAAGCUAGGGGAGCGAAUGGGAUCAGAUACCCCAGUAGUCCUAGCCGUAAACGAUGGAUACUAGGCGUGGCUUGUAUCGACCCGAGCCGUGCCGUAGCUAGCGCGUUAAGUAUCCCGCCUGGGGAGUACGCCGGCAACGGUGAAACUCAAAGGAAUUGACGGGGGCCCGCACAAGCGGUGGAGUAUGUGGUUUAAUUCGAUGCAACGCGAAGAACCUUACCAAGGCUUGACAUGUCGCGAAUCCUGGUGAAAGCUGGGAGUGCCUUCGGGAGCGCGAACACAGGUGGUGCAUGGCUGUCGUCAGCUCGUGUCGUGAGAUGUUGGGUUAAGUCCCGCAACGAGCGCAACCCUCGUUUUUAGUUGCCAGCAUUAAGUUGGGCACUCUAGAGAGACUGCCGGUGACAAACCGGAGGAAGGUGGGGAUGACGUCAAGUCAGCAUGCCCCUUACGCCUUGGGCUACACACGUACUACAAUGCUCCGGACAGAGGGCAGCAAGCAUGCGAAUGCAAGCAAAUCCCGUAAACCGGAGCUCAGUUCAGAUCGCAGGCUGCAACUCGCCUGCGUGAAGGAGGAAUCGCUAGUAAUUGCAGGUCAGCAUACUGCAGUGAAUUCGUUCCCGGGCCUUGUACACACCGCCCGUCACACCAUGGAAGCUGGUAGUGCCCGAAGUCAUUACUCCAACCCUUAGGGGGGGAGGAUGCCUAAGGCAGGACUGGUGACUGGGGUGAAGUCGUAACAAGGUAGCCGUACCGGAAGGUGUGGCUGGAUCACCUCCUU
Molecule: ribosomal RNA, 1163 nt
Filed under: Nostoc sp. CMT-1BRIN-NPC12
Lineage: Bacteria; Bacillati; Cyanobacteriota; Cyanophyceae; Nostocales; Nostocaceae
Description: bacterial SSU rRNA
Rfam family: Bacterial small subunit ribosomal RNA
Source: RNAcentral